UAGGCUGGGGUGGAAUGUCUUGAAGGAGUGGAGGUGGGAUGGGUAGGCUGGGGUGGAGUGUCUUGAAGGAGUGGAGGUGGGAUGGUUAGGCUGGGGUGGAGUGUCUUGAAGGAGUGGAGGUGGGAUGGUAGGCUGGGGUGGAAUGUCUUGAAGGAGUGGAGGUGGGAUGGGUAGGCUGGGGUGGAGUGUCUUGAAGGAGUGGAGGUGGGAUGGGUAGGCUGGGGUGGAGUGUCUUGAAGGAGUGGAGGUGGGAUGGGUAGGCUGGGGUG
Non-coding RNA from Salvelinus sp. IW2-2015, 269 nucleotides. The record is from RefSeq and is a predicted model, not a curated record. NCBI's taxonomy places the organism in Eukaryota, Metazoa, Chordata, Actinopteri, Salmoniformes, Salmonidae.